This 406-nucleotide ribosomal RNA is filed under the name uncultured bacterium. RNAcentral's name for it is "partial 16S ribosomal RNA". It matches the Rfam family "Bacterial small subunit ribosomal RNA", at positions 30 to 526 of the family's 1533-position model. The record is from RNAcentral.
AUUGAACGCUGGCGGCAGGCUUAACACAUGCAAGUCGAGCGAGCGGCGGACGGGUGAGUAAUGUCUGGGAAACUGCCUGAUGGCGGGGGAUAACUACUGGAAACGGUAGCUAAUACCGCAUACCAUCAGAUGUGCCCAGAUGGGAUUACCUAGUGGGUGGGGUAAUGGCUCACCUAGGCGACGAUCCCUAGCUGGUCUGAGAGGAUGACGAGCCACACUGGAACGGGGAAACGGUCCAGCCUCCUACGGGAGGAAGCAGUGGGGAAUAUUGGACAAUGGGCGAAAGCCUGAUGCAGCCAUGCCGCGUGUGUGAAGAAGGCCUUCGGGUUGUAAAGCACGUUCAGCGGGGAGGCGUUACUCGCAGAAGAAGCACCGGCUAACUCCGUGCCAGCCGCCGCGGUAAUUC